Long non-coding RNA from Dreissena polymorpha, 815 nucleotides. RefSeq lists it as uncharacterized. Lineage: Eukaryota; Metazoa; Mollusca; Bivalvia; Myida; Dreissenidae. The transcript is spliced from 3 exons. The record is from RefSeq and is a predicted model, not a curated record.
CGAAAUAAGACGUUAUCUAAUAAUAAAAGGCAACAAAAUAAUAAACACUGCGGGGAAUCACGUCGUUUUAUUUUGAUAUGAAACACGGUUAAUGGCGGCGUCAUUGUCUCGACUUGGUUUGUGUAGAAUAUGCGGCAAGGCUUUUCAAAGCGCCUCAGGAUUAAACGAUCAUGAAAGAAAACAUACGGGGGUAGCGCCAUACAGAUGUUGUGGACGGAUGUUCUACAGCAAAGCUAAUUUUACAAGGCACAUAUUAGAUUGUUUUGUGAAAAUUAGGCAUUUUCAGAAACGUGCGCAGCACAUAAGGAAACUAAAGAGUUUGCCUGUGAGACAUGUGGGAGGUCGUUCGCAAUAAUGGCAGACCUAAGAGCGCACAUGACACAACACCAAGAAGCAACGUUUAAAUGUGACACAUGCGGACAUGAAAUGAAAAGGAGAGACCAGUAUGAUGAUCACAUGGCAAUGCAUCUUGGGGCCAAGAAACAUGCAUGCAAAUGCGGGAAGACAUAUACUCACAAGCCGAAUUUGUAUAGGCAUCAGAAAUUGUGCAAACAAGAUAACAAUACCAAUGCAGUUGCAAGCAAUAAUACGCCAUCAACUUAAGAAAAAGCUGAAACGUGUAAACGCUAUUUGUGUUUUAUGUUGUUUAUUUUUAUUUGCAAGUUUUUAAUUGUGCAACAAAUUUUAACACAAUGUAUAAUAAGUGAUUUACUUCAAGUGAUUGUAUAGGUGCAUUUUUUACACAGCCAUGUCGUCAUGGUUAUCCUCAGGGAGAGUGAUACGCUUGAAUUAUCUUCUGUUUAUUAUUUAUUAUA